Small nuclear RNA from Heterocephalus glaber (naked mole-rat), 107 nucleotides. The record is from Ensembl. Lineage: Eukaryota; Metazoa; Chordata; Mammalia; Rodentia; Bathyergidae.
GUGCUCACAUCAGCAGCACAUAUACUAAAAUUGGAACCAUACAGAGAAGAUUAGCAUGGCCCCUGUGCAAGGAUGACAUGCAAAUUCGUGAAGCAUUCCAUAUUUAA